UAUAUUGUACUUGAAAACUCAAAAGACAGCGGUAAAUCAUUGUUCUUGAACAAAUCAACCAUAACCUUUCCCAUUCACUCUAUUCUUCUUCAAAAUAUCAUCAAGUGGUUGGAAGAAACCAUUCAAAUUUCCUCUUUCUUUUCCUCUUCCAUCUCCUUUUUUCUUUCUCUUUCUCCUGUCAUAGUCUCCCUCUCUUCUUUCUUCCUCUCUCCUUCCCGGUUUCUCUUUAUAUUUAUGUCCACCGUUCUUCCGCUUUCUCUCUAUCUCUUUCUCUUUUUCCAUCAAACCCUAGCAAAUCCAUUCGGUAUUUUAAGGAUUUGUUCACUAAUUAUGUUUCUGGUCUUGACGGUGAAUGAUUUCGUCGAUGAUUGUAGCGGCGACCAGAACAGAAAAGAUCUCUUGAGAGUGAAUGAUAUUUGGAGUCUUAUUUUUCUGUCAAUAUAUCAAGGAACCUUUCAAUGUUGA
Non-coding RNA from Vicia faba (fava bean), 465 nucleotides. The record is from the annotation of a GenBank genome assembly. Lineage: Eukaryota; Viridiplantae; Streptophyta; Magnoliopsida; Fabales; Fabaceae.